Molecule: long non-coding RNA, 1190 nt
Filed under: Lathyrus oleraceus (garden pea)
Lineage: Eukaryota; Viridiplantae; Streptophyta; Magnoliopsida; Fabales; Fabaceae
Description: Pisum sativum (pea) long non-coding RNA (PSAT_LNC001469)
Source: RNAcentral
AUAAUAAUAAUAAUAAUAAUAAUAAUAAAAAUAUGGGACGGCUGACCAAAUGAAAAAGAGGGAGAGAAAAUGCUCAUGAUUUUUUUUUAUAAAAAAGGCCCCAAUAGAUUGCUGACAUGUGUCCAAGGAAAAGAAGAAAAAAAUAAACUAAAUUUCCUCUUCUUCCUCACAUGCUCGUGACAGCAACAACAUAGUAGCCUCUCUUUCUUUCUUUUCAAACUUAAACAUUAAAAAACUUAACCAAUCAAAAUCAUGGAUAUCCAGAAAAUAACAAAAAAAUCAAACAAUCUUACAUCCCUACAACAACAACAACGGUGGUUGAUGUGAAGUUCAUCGGUGGUUGGAGGUGGUGAGAGAAAUGGCAGUGUCGUAGGAGAGGGUGUGUCGGCCGUGCGGACUGGAUUCUCGUCGGAACUGGUGCAACGGCGGUCGGAAAAGCAAGCAGUGGUGGUUGAUGACACAUUUCCGGUUAGUGGCGGUGAUUUCGGUUUCAAAGCUGCUCGAAUCUACCUUCUUCUUCUUCCUCUAUUUCAGCUCACAAGUGCUCUUUUUCUUUGGAUUUUUUUGCAGGUGUGAUGUUGUUGAUGAAUGUUGUGUUGUUUGUUAUAGGUUGUUGUUGUUGAACAUAUGAAGGAGGUAGUUGGAGUUGAAACAAAAAUAUGGUGAAGUUAAUGUUAUGUAGGUUAGUAUGUUGUGUGGGUGUGUUGCUGUUGUUGUUGUGUUGAGUGGAAGAAGAAGAGUUGAUGAUGGUGUUUGAGGGGCGCGUGUGGUGGUAGAUUGGAGGGAAGUUUGUUGUUGAAAGGUGGUCACUUGAAAGAGAGAAGAAACUUAUGUUGUUGUUUUACAUGGAGAGAGUAUAGGAAUAUCAUGUUUGAAAAAAAGAAGAAAAAAGGUAUCUUGGUACUAUAUGGAGUGAACCACGUCAAAAUGAAGAUCACCCUCUCUCAAACAAUUCUUUCCCCCUCUUCCUUUUUUUUAUCAAUUUUCAUUUUUAUUGUUUUUUAUGUGAGUACUGAGCAUGGAUCUCCUUUUAUUUAUUUUUAAUGUUAAUGGAAUAGUAUAUAUGGUAUGGUUUCUUUAGGGCUUGCAAUGUGAUAAAAAUUUCAAAAUGUCAUUAGAUAUUUAUUUUAGAGACAAAAUGAUUUAAAUCAAAUACCUUAAAAUAAUUAUAAUUAAAUAGAAAUAAAAAA